This 433-nucleotide ribosomal RNA is filed under the name uncultured bacterium. Its description in RNAcentral is "partial 16S ribosomal RNA". It matches the Rfam family "Bacterial small subunit ribosomal RNA", at positions 29 to 507 of the family's 1533-position model. The record is from RNAcentral.
AACGAACGCUGGCGGCAUGCCUAACACAUGCAAGUCGAACGAGACCUUCGGGUCUAGUGGCGCACGGGUGCGUAACGCGUGGGAACCUGCCCUUAGGUUCGGAAUAACUCCCCGAAAGGGGUGCUAAUACCGGAUAAUGUCUUCGGACCAAAGAUUUAUCGCCUUUGGAUGGGCCCGCGUUGGAUUAGCUAGUUGGUAGGGUAAAAGCCUACCAAGGCGACGAUCCAUAGCUGGUCUGAGAGGAUGAUCAGCCACACUGGGACUGAGACACGGCCCAGACUCCUACGGGAGGCAGCAGUGGGGAAUAUUGGACAAUGGGCGAAAGCCUGAUCCAGCAAUGCCGCGUGAGUGAUGAAGGCCUUAGGGUUGUAAAGCUCUUUUACCCAGGAUGAUAAUGACAGUACCGGGAGAAUAAGCUCCGGCUAACUCCGUG